Molecule: ribosomal RNA, 500 nt
Filed under: uncultured bacterium
Lineage: Bacteria
Description: partial 16S ribosomal RNA
Rfam family: Bacterial small subunit ribosomal RNA
Source: RNAcentral
ACUCAAAUGAAUUGACGGGGGCCCGCACAAGCGGUGGAGCAUGUGGUUUAAUUCGACGCAACGCGCAGAACCUUACCAACCCUUGACAUGCCCGUCGCGGGGACGAGAGAUCGACCCCUUCAGUUCGGCUGGACGGUGCACAGGUGCUGCAUGGCUGUCGUCAGCUCGUGUCGUGAGAUGUUGGGUUAAGUCCCGCAACGAGCGCAACCCUCGCCUUCAGUUGCCAUCAUUUAGUUGGGCACUCUGAAGGGACUGCCGGUGACAAGCCGGAGGAAGGUGGGGAUGACGUCAAGUCCUCAUGGCCCUUACGGGUUGGGCUACACACGUGCUACAAUGGCGGUGACAAUGGGAUGCGAAAGCGCGAGCUGGAGCAAAUCCCAAAAAGCCGUCUCAGUUCGGAUUGCACUCUGCAACUCGAGUGCAUGAAGUCGGAAUCGCUAGUAAUCGCGCAACAGCAUGGCGCGGUGAAUACGUUCCCGGGCCUUGUACACACCGCCCGU